CGCUGAUAUAAAAUGCAAUAUUUCAAGGAGCUGAAGGGCUUUUAUUCGGAGCAGAGCAGCAGCGCCGGAGAGCAAAGAAACCGACAGGAAAGAAGGAGAGAAAAAGGAAAAAUAAAGACGCGGUUAUUGUUCGCGUUUGGCUUUCGGCGACGUGAAAAAAGGAGCUGCAGUCUCUCUGAAGGCCCUGGGCGUCGUGUCUCUUUGACCUCCCUAUUGAACACGCUCGCCCCUCAUCAUUAUCCUCAUUCCGCCUGCGGUCUCCAUCGCUCGUGCCUUCUUCUCCCCAAAGCACUGAGAUCUUUACCCAAGCAGCUCCGGGACACAGACGCAGUUAUAAACCACACGAAACAUGGAGCAAAGUGGGGGUAAAACAAGAGAGAGAUUGGAGUCAGUCAGUGCGGCGUUCGUCUUCAUGGCGGAAAUAACCAAACAAAACCGGACACACGGUUUUCUGUGGAAACUCCUGAAUGAAUUUGUUUGUGCUCGAGGAGUCUGAUGAAGACGAGAGACUGCGGUGUAUCAGGUGGAUGUGUG
Molecule: long non-coding RNA, 534 nt
Organism: Ictalurus punctatus (channel catfish)
Lineage: Eukaryota; Metazoa; Chordata; Actinopteri; Siluriformes; Ictaluridae
Source: Ensembl